AAAACAUAGCCCUAAGGAGUUAUUUAGGGUGAAGCCUGCUCAAUGAUAGAUUAAAUAGCCGCGGUACCUUGACCGUGCUAAGGUAGCAUAAUCAGUUGACUUUUAAAUGGAGUCUGGAAUGAAUGGAGUAACGGGGUUAAGCUGUCUCUUUAUUUUUCUUUUUAAUUUACUAAUUAGGUGAAAAGGCCUAAAAAUGAUAAAAGACGAUAAGACCCUUAGAGUUUUUAAUAUAUUUUGUUGGGGCGACAAGGAAUCACUAAACAUUCCUGUUAAAUAUGGGACGGGUUUACCAUGGUCAGAUAAACUACCUGAGGGAUAACAGCAUUAUCUUUUAAGGUUUGUGACCUCGAUGUUGGACUAGGAGGCCUGUAGGUUAGYUGCUUACAAGGGGAGUUCUGUUCGAACUAUUACUCCUACGUGAUC
RNAcentral lists this ribosomal RNA (423 nucleotides) under Niparaya regiscorona. Its description in RNAcentral is "partial 16S ribosomal RNA". It matches the Rfam family "Bacterial large subunit ribosomal RNA", at positions 1810 to 2605 of the family's 2925-position model. Lineage: Eukaryota; Metazoa; Mollusca; Gastropoda; Cephalaspidea; Aglajidae. The record is from RNAcentral.